This 492-nucleotide ribosomal RNA is filed under the name uncultured bacterium. RNAcentral's name for it is "partial 16S ribosomal RNA". It matches the Rfam family "Bacterial small subunit ribosomal RNA", at positions 28 to 507 of the family's 1533-position model. The record is from RNAcentral.
GAUGAACGCUCGCUACAGGCUUAACACAUGCAAGUCGAGGGGAAACGACAUCGAAAGCUUGCUUUUGAUGGGCGUCGACCGGCGCACGGGUGAGUAACGCGUAUCCAACCUGCCCAUCACUUGGGAAUAACCUUGCGAAAGUAAGACUAAUACCCAAUGAUAUCCCACGAAGACAUCUGAAUGGGAUUAAAGAUUUAUCGGUGAUGGAUGGGGAUGCGUCUGAUUAGCUUGUUGGCGGGGUAACGGCCCACCAAGGCAACGAUCAGUAGGGGUUCUGAGAGGAAGGUCCCCCACAUUGGAACUGAGACACGGUCCAAACUCCUACGGGAGGCAGCAGUGAGGAAUAUUGGUCAAUGGGCGAGAGCCUGAACCAGCCAAGUAGCGUGCAGGAUGACGGCCCUAUGGGUUGUAAACUGCUUUUAUAAGGGAAUAAAGUGGGUCUCGUGAGACUUUUUGCAUGUACCUUAUGAAUAAGGACCGGCUAAUUCCGUG